Long non-coding RNA from Zonotrichia leucophrys gambelii, 6238 nucleotides. RefSeq lists it as uncharacterized. The transcript is spliced from 3 exons. The record is from RefSeq and is a predicted model, not a curated record. NCBI's taxonomy places the organism in Eukaryota, Metazoa, Chordata, Aves, Passeriformes, Passerellidae.
CUGUCACAUUCAGUAUGUGGGUGCUGCUGGAUUAGAUGUGACAUGAUAAUCAGAUAGUUGUAUGUGAGAUUGGUGCUGCAUUUGUUACAGAAACUAUGCAUAAGGAGUUAUCUCAGAUUAAUGUUAGCAUAUAGAAUCACAGCAUAGGUUGGGCUGGAAGGGACCUUAAAGAUCAUCUCGUUCCAAACCCUUGCCAAGGGCAGGAUGCCACUCACUAGCUCAGGUUUCUCAGAGCCCUAUCCAGCCUGGCCUUGGGCACUUCCAGGGAUGGGGCAUCCACACUCUCUCCUUGCUUUAGGUUGUCUCCUUCCUUCUUAUAUCCUUCUGUCUAUGCUUCCUUCCCUGUAUCCUAUUUGUAAUUCUUGUUUCCGGACAGAAGCCCUAGAGGGCAGCAAAGCAGCCAAAGCGGUCAGAAGGUGCAAAUUGGGCCCGUCUGAGGAUUCUCUUUAGGAGCCCGUCGGUUUUUGAUUCGUGGAGAUUAUGCCUUUCUUCUUAAAACGUGUUUCCCACGUCAUAGUUUCAGGGGGAAGGCUUGUGUUUGGGCAGGCAUCCUUGGGGAUCAAAGUGGAUUGCAACAGAGAGGAGGGGAAUUAGGGAAUGGACAAGUUGAAGACAAGGAAGGUGAAGCAGUGGCUUCUUCCCUUUCCGUGAAAUUGCUAGAAAGUAGAUACAGAAGCUCAAAAGGAAACAGCUUUCCCUAUUCAUCAAUUAACUCAGCUUAAAACCUAUACAGCUUCUGAGGAUGCUCCACACAGGGUUGAGACCUUGUGCAAUUUUUGUUAGCGUGGGUUCUUGGAGUUCAUUGCAGACCAGACUCUGAUUGGAGUGUGGGCUCCUGCAUAUUAUUACCUUACAGUGAGGGCUGAUGAUGGUAUUAACUGUUGAGUGGUGAGCUAGGGGAAGGUUUAAGAGACUGGUUAUUCAGAAGCAACUAAAUUCUUAGAACGAGGUUUUAACAUGCCUAUAGAAUUAUUUAGGGUGGAAAUGACUCUAAAAUUGAGUCCAACCACAAACCCAGCACUGCCAAGUGCUUCACUAAACCACAUCCCUAAGUGCCAUAUCCAUGCUGCUUUUAAAUACCACCAGGGAUGGUGACUCCACUGCUUCCUUGAGCAGCCUGUUGCAAUGCUUGACUGCUCUCUCUGUGAAGAAAGUUCUCCAAAUGUCCAAUCUAAACCUCUUCUGGUGCAACUGGAGGCUGUUUCCUCCCAUCCUGUGAGAAGAGACCAAUCCCCACCUGGCCACAGCCUCCUUUCAGGCAGUUGUAGACAGCCGUGAAUAUUCCCCUCAGCCUCCUUCUUUCCAUGCUUAACUACCCCUGCCCACUCAGCUGCUCCUCAUAAAAUUCGUGCUCCAGACCUUUCACCAGCUUCCUGUGGAUGCUCUUCAUACCCCUUGUGUGCCCAUCUCAACUAUAAAUUUCUAACUCAUUAAAUUCUAGGUCAGGGGAAGUAUUGCAGAUCACAUGUUUGUCCUUUUUAUCUUAUGGUGACAGUUUCAUGCUUUCAGCUUUUUUGGAAAGAGCAUUUUGACAGCUUCCUGUCUUGGGAAUGUUGCCUUACACCAUUUAAAAUCUGUGUCUUUAAAUAUUUUUAGAAACAGGUCAACAGAUUUGUGAUGCUUCUCUAGAAAAAUUAUAGAUAGCUGAUGUGUGUUGUGUGAAACCCAGAGAAAAUAGGAUGACUGUGGAAACCUUUUGGCAAUAUCCAGCCUGGAAACUUGUGCUUUAAUGUGAAGGUUUGUAAUUGUUCCAUAAAGAAAAGUAAGCUCUUUGUCGUCAUUACCACAUUAAGAAAAGCAUGCCUGGGAUCAAGGUAAUUUCAGAUAAAUUACACUGCUUGGAGUCUGUUCACGCCUCUGCUGCAGAAUAUAUAGGUGUCAUCCAUCAAAUCCUGUGUUGCUUUUAUAUUGAACACAACUUGGCCUGCUGGGUGGUAAGUGGGAGGCUUAGAGUGGACAGGGUGAGAUUUAUUAGUUCUUUUUCACCGAUGGUUGUUGCUGUGUUUCAUUCAACAUUCUUGAGUUUUUCAAGGACUUCACAUUUUAGUGGAACAAGUGGAAGAUGGUGGAUUUUCUACAGCUCUAGAAAAUCAGGCCUUCAGUCUCAAGCUACCAUUUAUUAGUAUUUUUGAAUUCUAGGCUUAAUCUUUUAAGGCAGAAGUUAGUAAAAAUUUGUUCUAUAUUAAAAUGAAACAGCAAAGCAUUUCCUGCCUUUCUACUGUUAAUCUCCCAACUGAGAUUUUUUUCUUUGUUUUCUUUCUUUUUGUAGUGCUGUUUUCCAGUUGAAGAUUUCAAGAGUUAUCUGCUUUCCAGAUCUGAAUGGAAUCCUUCUGCAUCAGAACAGGAAACUAAUAAGGAGGGACAGCUGUUCCUGCUCAGCCCUUUCAGUAUCAUUGUUUCAUUUCUCUUCAGUUAAUCUAAAUAUGUGGUGAGCUGUACUGUUUGCAGAAAGUAAGGAGGUUCUGUGUCUGUUUGAAUAUGAUAACUCACUGUGGGAAAAGCUGAGUGUAGCUGACUUCAUCUUGUGCUACAUAGGUAACUCAGGACAACAGGUAAUUUCAGAAAUGAUAUAUACAGAUUUCUAUAUUAUCUAUUAAAUGGUAUCUACAGAUACCAUUUAACCCCUUAUAUUUUUACAUACCCUUUUUAAAGGAAAUUUUGGUAACAGCUGACAGUAUGUCUUUGAAUUAGAGCAUUGACAUUCAGUACUGUCAGUGAAGAUUCUCAGACUGUGUAUGAAGAUCUUGUAUAUGUGGCUGAAGUGGUAGCACCUCUUUACAAAUAAUUUGGGUUUUGGGCCAGUUGUUUCCCACAAAAAGGAAAAAAUAUAUUGAAAUUAUUUUGGUAAGCUAGUGUGCUUUUGCUUUGUCCUCUUUCACUUUUGCAUAGUUACCUAAACCACUUUUCAUAGGACUGUUCAGCAGAAAGCAGAGGUCACCUAAUUGAUACUUAAAGCUGUUGAACUUAUGUAAGAAAUGUAGUUUGGUUCUCCUGCACAAUGUUUACAUUUUGUGUGUUUGUUGUGGUUUGGGAGGGGUUUUGUUUGUUUUUCUAAAUGCAAAGCAAGUGCUUUGAUUCCAUGUGGUUGGGGAAACUGUGCUAAACUUAGGCUUUACUCUUGUCAGGUUGCCUGUCCCUGUGCUAACUUCAGAACUUGAAGAGGUGACCUUUUGCUGUGAGGUAAUGAUGUUUAUGCUCUCUCCUAUGGAUCUCUCCUUUUCCUUCCCUGAAGCAACAUCACAAAAGGAAUACACUGUGCAAGAUUUUCUCCUUGCAGUUAAUAGUACCAAGUGCUUAUUUUGAUGAGAAAAAUGUUCUUUAAAACAUUCUAGAAUAAGAAAAGAAAAUGCUCUGCUGUGUUACCAUUUCUGUGUGCCUAAUCCUGAAAAAGAGAGAACUUUGCCCCAAACACCUGACAGUUUGUUUGGAAUCCAGCCAGUGUAUGUAACUGGAAAUUGAAUUUCUAAUCAGGAAAGGAAAAUGAAGGGAGAAUAAAGGAAGCAUUCGUAAUAUGUUGGACAAAUAAUGUAAAAUUACUGUAGCCCUCUGCUGCCCAUCCAUUUAAGAGAAAUGUUAUUGCAGGAGUAAUCUUGGGGGAUCUGAAAGAACCUGAUGUUAAGAACUUCACUUGAGGAAGAUGAUGUAUUUUUACAUGUGGAAAAAAGGUGUAAUGAGUGGUGUAGUAACCUGAAGUGGCAGCUUUUUUUGCUGUAUGUCUUAGGCCUUGGACUGUCAGAACAUUUUAUGCUGCAGCACACUGGCACCUUCUGCUAAAUUUUGUCCUCCAUAGCUUAUCCUACCUGGCUUCUUGUGAUUUAAGGAUGGGGGAAGGAGGCAAGUGGAAAGUGGAAAGUAACACUGUCUAGGGCCAAAAGAAGGUCCCUCAUGUAUUACAAGAGUUUGUAUUUCUGCUUUCUAUCUUGUUGUUUCUAUAGAAAAGUCUACACCACUUGUUACAAGUCCCUGUGUUAUGGAAGUGUGCUGGAUUUUGAAGGUCAGGGCUGCUGGACUGUGUAGAUAUCAAAACAUUACUGCUAUUUAAGAGUCAUAUCUUUUCCUGCUGUAACUACUGUUUGGCUCAUGUAAUGAUCCACAGUUCACAUAUACAGUUUAGGAAAGAUCAGCAAGAACUUCCAUUUUGAGGAUAUCUCUAAGACGGAGUUGCAAGCAACAAAAAUAUAAUCAUUAAUGAAUUUUUUAUCAUAUAAGUAAGAUUUAUUUUUCCACAUGGAAAUUGUUAUUAUAAAACCAUUUCACGGGAAUUUUCUAGGAGUGCAAAUGAUUCUUUUAAAAGUAUCCUGUUAAAAAACCCAGCAGCUCAACAACAAAUGGAUCAAUAUGGCUGUAUCUGGCUCUUCAAGUUGUAUUGUACAGUGUUUCCAGGAAUGGUGUUCUCUCUUUUCCCGUCUGAGGCAGAUAAUGACUACAUAAAUAUAAAACUGAAAUCUGCAAUUUUGCAUUUGAGACUAUGGAUCAGUACAUAAAGAGUUAAUCUACAGUAGCAAAAUUGUCCUUGGAAAGAAUGAACUGGUCACAAAAUUUCUGCUGGAGUGUUUGUUAAACUGAGAGGAAAAACAAAAGUUCAUACAUACACAACUUCAGGGUGAAAAUGUUGGAUACCACCAGGACCUUGCUAUUGUUGGUUUCCACACAGUUUUUAGAAAAACACCCACUCAACUUCACUCUCAGCCAGUGCUUUAAAUUCUCUUAUUGCUGGAGAUGAUGUUUUUACUUGCUCUUACAUAGUUCACUAUCUUCCAUCUAAAUUGCAUCCCUUUUGGUGAAGGUGGCUUUUGUCCUCAGUUAAAUUAAAGUAAUUAAAACUUGAAAAAUGUUACAGUCUGGGAACCUGUUAUGAGGUCCAUUUGUGUUAGACUCAUAUUGUUCUACAAAACCAAAGAGAUGGCCCAGGUUUCAGAGUUACACUCUGAGCCCACUGCCAGAGAUCCCUCCCUAUGGAAACUGCAGAACUGGCAAGGCCAUUUUUGAUAUGUGAUGUUUGUUGUGUAAACAUACACUUCUAAAAAGUGCAUUCCCAACCCAUCCACUCAUUCCCUAAUUUCACCUUCCCAUGUGCCACAUGCUGUAUUUAAGUUUGGUAGCUGCAGAUAGGUCUGGAUAUUCUAAAAGAAUGUCCUGAUACCUCUCUGUACCAUGUGAGUUUCUAAAGAAGCUUUUGUAUUAAUUAAAUGGUAGCAGUCUGCUUCACAAUAAUAGAUGGAAGCAAAAAAAAAAAGAAUCUCCUUCUACUUGUAAAAAAAUUAACCAAAAUUAGAAAAGACAAACCUCCCUACCAGCAAAUAUGCAAGCGUUUAUGAAAUCAACAGCUCAUGUGUUACUAGUUCCUAGGUAUGAAUAGGAGUCCAGUACUGAUAAAGACCAUGGAAAAAACUGCUUUUAAGAUAUCAUCAAAUUUAGAAAAUUAGUAAUUUUUUCCUCAGUGCAAUUGUUGGAGAUAACAGCAAGACACUAGUUAGAAUGAGAAAGUUUGUUAUCACUUUAUUUAAACUUUAAAUGAAGAAAAGGCAGUACUAUGCUAGUUACAAAACCCUUCCCUCCCUCCCUCCCUGCCAGAUUUAUGCUCCUCAGUUGUUUGGCUACUUCUGCUUUUCCCUCCUACUGUCAAAGAAUGCAACAAAGUUUUGUCUACACAGAAAGCAGUAAUGCAUGUGAGUAAUGUGAGUAAUGCAGCCUGUUGACAUUAGUAAGUGGGAAAUAUGUGUUGAAAUGCUAAACUCAGAAAAAAUAUGAAAUAAAGUGACAUGAGUUUAGUCUGCUUUUUAAACUUUUCUAUUCUAGGUUUUUUUUUUUUUUAGGAGAGGUUGAUUUCUGGCUGUUGAUGAACCUUCCAUAACUGAAAAGUACAAGGAACUGGUAUGGUAAAGUCUUAAGACCCCAGAAAUAAUUGGACCUUUAGGAACCUCAGGCUGAACUUGGUGAGUAUCUCAAGAUAGUGUAGAAAUAAAUGGAACAGUUUCAGUGGGAUGCACAGAUAUCUUCUCAAAGUCUUUCCUUUUGCUGGACACAUGUGCUUGUUAAACUACUGACUUGCCUUAGUUUUAAGGACUUUUGUUUCUCAUUGCUCUUCCCACAAGAUAGCAAAUAAGGUUAAUCACAAGCAACUAAGUAUUCAUGGAUGUUAUUUAACAGGAGGCCUUUGCCUGCAUUCCUUUGGGGGUAAGAAUUUGUACAAUAAUGACUGCUUUAUUGAUUUGAAUGUAAAAAUAAAUAAAUAAAG